GCCGGGCUCCCUCUAGGCAGCCUCCUGUGUGGUGCGCCUGCUGAAGGCUGAAGCCGCCGCCGCCACCGCCCGCCGCCACCGGCUGCUCUGGGCACUAACUCGACCGAGGCUCAGCUCAGACUGGAGUUCUGUGACUGCAGGAGAAACUCCUGGAGGUGGAGACCAGCUGCCUGUCUACUCCUUGAAGUUCCCCUCAACCACAGCUCCUGGAUCCUGCACUGAGCAGGGACCAUGCCCUAUAUCCAGCAGCCCCCGCAGCGGCCAGGUUGCCAGGCCCUCCUGCAGGACUUCCUGGCUUCGGCAGAGUCUCCCACAGGAUCCCCUACAGUCCAGCCCCAGCCAGCCCAGCCAGGCAAAGCACACCUCAGGCAAGAAGGGCUCAUAGCUCAGUGGUGACUCAUCCCAGCAGAGCAGACCAGCCCAAGCUGCGGGGACACCUCCCCGGCUGGGGUGGGAGCAAGGGCUGCUGGGGCAGCAGGCAGCGCACCAAGGGGGCACAGCCGGUGAGUCAGACCUGGGGAGGGGGCCCGGGUGCCGCCGUGACUCACCAGAAAGGAAGCUGUACCUUGGGGCAGGAUGGGGCUGUUUGCAUCAGGGCCGGGCAGGGAGAUAGCAGCUGUUACCGGUUGUAAAGGUACAAGACCUGGGCAAAGGGCACAAGGGCCCCUGUGACUAGACCUGGCUUCUUGUAACCUCUGGCUCCCUUGGGUCAGAAGAUGGAGCCACCUAUGGCCGGCAUCUGGAACUGCCCAACCUACCCGACCCACUCUAGGAAAAAAAAAAAUGUACCACCCAGACCACAAGAAUUUUCCAGCCCAGGCAUCAGCCUUGAUGUGAUCCAGCUGUGGACUGCUGAGGACCAGCCCCCUCCCGGUGUCUAAGGCCUCUGCGUUCUGUUCCGGGAAGUCUGCCCUCCGCUGCCCUCACUGCUCCCCUUAUGGCCACAAGGGGGCACCAAAACUCUGUAGGGCGGAGUGGGCGCGAGUGCCGGCGUGAAGUCUGACAUUCACCCCAGAGCACCACGCUCUGCUGAGUGGCAUACACUGCCCCUCACUUGAGGGUUCUCCUCGGACUCCAACCCAGGACCAUCUACCUCUUUCCCCUCUAGUCCAAUGACCACCACAACCCACCAGAGACGACUCCUCCCACUCCAAAGGCCUUCCGAACCUCAAAUCUGACUCUACGCUGGUCAGGGCUCCGAGAGCUCCUCAGAGACCAGGCCAGCAAUCUCCCAGUCAGAAAGCAAACCCUUCAGGGAAGUGGAGGUGUGCCGGGGCUGGAGAGAUGGCUCAGCGGUUAAGGGCACUGGCUGCUCUUCCAGAGGUCCUGAGUUCAAUUCCCAGCAACCACAUGGCGGCUCACAGCCAUCUACAACGGGAUCAGACGCCCUCCUCUUCUCUCUGAGGCUCUCUUCUCCCAUGCAGGCACUACACCCCAGUGGAGCACUCAUAUACGUGAAGAAAUAAAUCUUUU
Peromyscus maniculatus bairdii (prairie deer mouse) is the source of this 1473-nucleotide non-coding RNA. Lineage: Eukaryota; Metazoa; Chordata; Mammalia; Rodentia; Cricetidae. The record is from RefSeq and is a predicted model, not a curated record.